Molecule: ribosomal RNA, 450 nt
Filed under: uncultured bacterium
Lineage: Bacteria
Description: partial 16S ribosomal RNA
Rfam family: Bacterial small subunit ribosomal RNA
Source: RNAcentral
CCUACGGGCGGCAGCAGUAAGGAAUAUUGGUCAAUGGACGAAAGUCUGAACCAGCCAUCCCGCGUGCAGGAUGAAAGCCCUAUGGGUUGUAAACUGCUUUUAGCAGAGAAGAAAAGCUUUCAUUAAUGAGAGUCUGACGGUAUCUGCAGAAUAAGCACCGGCUAACUCCGUGCCAGCAGCCGCGGUAAUACGGAGGGUGCCGGAGUUAUUGGGAAUAAAGGGGGUGAAAGGGUGGUAAUGCGGAGGUUGUGAAAUCUUGUCGCUUAACGAUAGAAUUGCCAAUGAUACUGGUACUCUUGAAUUGGGUUGAGGUUAGCGGAAUGUGACAUGUAGCGGUGAAAUGCAUAGAUAUGUCAUGGAACACCAAUUGCGAAGGCAGCUAACUGGGCCUUGAUUGACGCUGAGGCACGAAAGCGUGGGUAGCGAACAGGAUUAGAUACCCCAGUAGUC